This 22-nucleotide microRNA is filed under the name Glycine max (soybean). RNAcentral describes it as "gma-miR9724". Lineage: Eukaryota; Viridiplantae; Streptophyta; Magnoliopsida; Fabales; Fabaceae. The record is from miRBase by way of RNAcentral.
UAGAGAUAGUGUCAAAAUAGAA